This 468-nucleotide ribosomal RNA is filed under the name uncultured bacterium. RNAcentral describes it as "partial 16S ribosomal RNA". It matches the Rfam family "Bacterial small subunit ribosomal RNA", at positions 28 to 507 of the family's 1533-position model. The record is from RNAcentral.
GACGAACGCUGGCGGCGUGCUUAACACAUGCAAGUCGAACGGAAAGGCCCUGCUUUUGUGGGGUGCUCGAGUGGCGAACGGGUGAGUAACACGUGAGUAACCUGCCCUUGACUUUGGGAUAACUUCAGGAAACUGGGGCUAAUACCGGAUAGGAGCUCCUGCUGCAUGGUGGGGGUUGGAAAGUUUCGGCGGUUGGGGAUGGACUCGGGGCUUAUCAGCUUGUUGGUGGGGUAGUGGCUUACCAAGGCUUUGACGGGUAGCCGGCCUGAGAGGGUGACCGGCAACAUUGGGACUGCGACACGGCCCAGACUCCUACGGGAGGCAGCAGUGGGGAAUAUUGCACAGUGGGCGGAAGCCUGAUGCAGCAACGCCGCUUGCGGGAUGACGGCCUUCGGGUUGUAAACCGCUUUCGCCUGUGACGAAGCGUGAGUGACGGUAAUGGGUAAAGAAGCACCGGCUAACUACGUG